RNAcentral lists this ribosomal RNA (484 nucleotides) under uncultured bacterium. RNAcentral's name for it is "partial 16S ribosomal RNA". It matches the Rfam family "Bacterial small subunit ribosomal RNA", at positions 29 to 507 of the family's 1533-position model. The record is from RNAcentral.
AUUGAACGCUGGCGGCAUGCUUUACACAUGCAAGUCGAACGGCAGCGCGGGCUUCGGCCUGGCGGCGAGUGGCGAACGGGUGAGUAAUACAUCGGAACGUGCCCAGUAGUGGGGGAUAGCUCGGCGAAAGCCGGAUUAAUACCGCAUACGACCUGAGGGUGAAAGCGGGGGAUCUUCGGACCUCGCGCUAUUGGAGCGGCCGAUGGCAGAUUAGCUAGUUGGUGGGGUAAAGGCCUACCAAGGCGACGAUCUGUAGCUGGUCUGAGAGGACGACCAGCCACACUGGGACUGCGACACGGCCCAGACUCCUACGGGAGGCAGCAGUGGGGAAUUUUGGACAAUGGGCGAAAGCCUGAUCCAGCAAUGCCGCGUGUGUGAUGAAGGCCUUCGGGUUGUAAAGCACUUUUGGCGGGAACGAAAAGGACUGUGCCAAUACCACGGUUCGAUGACGGUACCCGCAGAAUAAGCACCGGCUAACUACGUG